This 407-nucleotide ribosomal RNA is filed under the name Plagiogramma sp. (in: diatoms). Its description in RNAcentral is "Plagiogramma sp. (in: Bacillariophyta) partial large subunit ribosomal RNA". It matches the Rfam family "Bacterial large subunit ribosomal RNA", at positions 2081 to 2485 of the family's 2925-position model. Lineage: Eukaryota; Bacillariophyta; Plagiogrammaphyceae; Plagiogrammales; Plagiogrammaceae. The record is from RNAcentral.
CAGAAAGACCCUAUGAAGCUUUACUGUAACUUGAAAUUGAAAUUGGACUUUAUUUGCGCAGUAUAGGUGGGAGGCAUAGAAAGAUCCUCGCGGGGAUUCUGGAGCCAUUAGUGAGAUACCACUCCUAUAAUGUUAGAUUUCUAACUUUUGCCAUUAUCUGGUAAAGGAACAGUUUCAGGCGGGCAGUUUGACUGGGGCGGUCGCCUCCCAAAUGGUAACGGAGGCGCACAAAGGUUUCCUCUGAACGGGUAGAAAUCGUAUCUAGAGUGUAAAGGCAAAAGGAAGCUUGACUGUGAGACUUACAAGUCGAGCAGGGACGAAAGUCGGUCUUAGUGAUCUGACGGUAUUAACUGAGUGGAAAGGCCGUCACUCAACGGAUAAAAGUUACUCUAGGGAUAACAGGCUGA